Long non-coding RNA from Brassica napus (rape), 1251 nucleotides. RefSeq lists it as uncharacterized. The record is from RefSeq and is a predicted model, not a curated record. The transcript is spliced from 3 exons. NCBI's taxonomy places the organism in Eukaryota, Viridiplantae, Streptophyta, Magnoliopsida, Brassicales, Brassicaceae.
AAGCUCUGCUAAUUGGGGUCAACUCAAGAAACAGAAUCCGGUAGUGCAACUGGCUAAAUUCAAUCAACAAAAGUGAAUCAAUGUCAAAAUGUUCAUCUCAAUUAUGGAUAUGAUCUAUCGCAGUGGUGAGUGUAAUCAAAGUUGUUGGAGCAUGGUGGAGAAGUGGUGCCAUUGUAAUGGCGACUGAUGGCCAUAACGGCAUAUUGAAUCACCAGAAAGGGGUGUGCUCAUAGCAUGGCUGUAAUGGUUGUAUGAAUCGUCACUAACCGCGCUUUAACUCUCCCUGCCCAGUACAACACGAUUUCGCUUUUUAUUAAACUACUUCAUCUUGAGGCAGUGUUUCUCUCCUAUAAAAAGGCUGGCCAUUGUUCUUCCACCGUGCAACUGUUCCGAUUCUGGUAAGCAAGGACGUUAAUCGUGGUGGCGAGUUGAUGUCUGAACCUUACACGGAGGCUUAACUACAAACACCAGCAACGUGCUCUCAAAUUCUCGGAUUCUAUAUUCAUGUUGCUUGCGAUUUAUAACCAGGCUGUUACUACAUUGCGAACAAGUAGUAGAUCUGAAUAGAGCAAGAGCUCCUUUGCUCGAGAUUGUAACUGAACCUCGUAUGGGAAGUGGGGUCGAAGCUGGUGAAUACGCCAGUGAGAUGCAAUAGAUUGUAAGGUAUUUAGGAUUGAGUACAUGAAUAUGCAAGAAGGCUCUCCCCGCUGCGUUAUCAAUAUCUCAUUCCGCCCAAUUGGGCAAGUUAAGUUUGUCACCAAGGUCAAUAAGUUAAUUUUCUCGAUUUAUCGUUUGUAGAUUCUGAUCUUUUUCAGAAAAUGCCGACUGUUUAAUUUGAUUCAGCAGGAGAGAUGCAUUAUAUUGGUACAUAUCUUGGUAUGCAAUCAAAAGGUUAAUACUUAGUUGCAUAAAUUAUGGCAAAAAGUACUACUACGACAGUAAAACAAAGGUAUAUAAAUGUAAAGAGAAGGCAACAUUUUACAGGUGUUAGUUUAAAAAAAAAACAUUUUUCUGGUGUUCUGUUAAGACUACUUGAAUCUUCAAAAUUUUUGGAUCAGGUGAGCAACUGGCAGAUUCCAGCCGUCGUGAAAGAUUUGGUGAAGAAAACGGAGGAAACGUCUAUGGAGAAUUUAGCUUCUGUUCCGAGUGCUGCUCAUCGUAGACUCACUUCAACUAAAGGGAAUACCAAUCAGUAAAUCAGUUUUAAAUAAGCUUUUCCCACAGCAUAAAAUGCCGCUAAGCAAGUUGUUC